AAGAGGACGCAAAAAUCUUACAUGCAAUUAUGACCGGGGCUCGCAUAAAUUGGUGCCGGUUCGUCAUGACACAUAUGUAUGACGCUAUUGGAAAUGGUAGACCACUCCCUUAUGCCUUACUCAUAAUGGCUCUUCUUGAAGCCGCCGGCAUCGAUACCUCUGUCGAUCCUCAACAAAAAGCUACAAAGCAUUGAGAGAUUCACGAAUCUUCGCUUCCCAAUAUUGGCGAACAUCGUCCUCCUCCUCCUCCUACACAAUUACGACGUCCUCAAGCUCCCACUCUUCAAACCAUUUCGGAC
Molecule: long non-coding RNA, 299 nt
Filed under: Nicotiana benthamiana
Lineage: Eukaryota; Viridiplantae; Streptophyta; Magnoliopsida; Solanales; Solanaceae
Description: long non-coding RNA (NBEN_LNC023273)
Source: RNAcentral